GGCAUAGAGAUCCUCUAUGGUGACUGGAGUUCAGACGUGUCUCCCUGUCUUUCCCUGCUUACAAUGGCAGAGAAGGAGGAACGCAAGACCCCUCCAAUGAAAUUGGUCGUCCCUCCCCCAUCUGCCCCCCUGCCCACCCCUCAAGAUCUCCCCACCGCCUCCAUUGUUAGAACCCCUGCCACCGCCCCCGCUGGGGCAUCGGCAGUGGGAGGCACCGGGGCAAUUACUACUGCUGCUUUGGUUCUUGCCCCAUUAGAUUCUAGGAACCCCCCCCCAAUUAGACGGAAAAAUCGAA
This is a long non-coding RNA of Chelonia mydas (Green sea turtle), 295 nucleotides long. RefSeq lists it as uncharacterized. Lineage: Eukaryota; Metazoa; Chordata; Testudines; Cheloniidae. The record is from RefSeq and is a predicted model, not a curated record. The transcript has 6 exons.